GACGGAGGGGGCUAGCGUUGUUCGGAAUUACUGGGCGUAAAGCGCGCGUAGGCGGCCUUUCAAGUCAGGUGUGAAAGCCCCGAGCUUAACUCGGGAACCGCAUUUGAUACUGUUGGGCUUGAGACCGGGAGAGGAUAGCGGAAUUCCCAGUGUAGAGGUGAAAUUCGUAGAUAUUGGGAAGAACACCAGUGGCGAAGGCGGCUAUCUGGACCGGUACUGACGCUGAGGUGCGAAAGCGUGGGGAGCAAACAGG
RNAcentral lists this ribosomal RNA (253 nucleotides) under uncultured bacterium. RNAcentral describes it as "partial 16S ribosomal RNA". It matches the Rfam family "Bacterial small subunit ribosomal RNA", at positions 524 to 776 of the family's 1533-position model. The record is from RNAcentral.